UGAUGGCUAGCUACUCUAUUUAUAUGUUAUAUUCGACUUAAAAUCUAAGCAAUUACAUCACUAGAAUGUUCCACAAGCAAAGGGCUUUGUGGUAAAACCAAAUAGAGUAGCUUAAAAUCUAAGCAAAAGCAACAAAAGGCUGUCUGGGAGGUGGCACGGCCGUGGCAACCUUCUGUCUUGAGGGAUUGUCAUAAUAAAACAAUAAAAACAAGCUGCUUAUUCAUGCCUUUCACAAUAAAACAAAACAAAAGAAUAAAGCUCAAGGGAUUUUGGAAACACUACGACACACGACACUUUAUUAGGCUCCCCUCACACUUAGGAGAAGCAUUGUCCUCAAUGAUUUAAAGUAAGAAAAAUGAAAGAGAAGAAGAAGAAACAAGAAAAAGAAUGAGAAAGGAUGCGGAAAGCUCACAAUUUGCCAAAAGAAGUAAAAAAUUUAACCCUGGAGGCCUAUCAGGUUGGCACGGCCGUGCCAACUUAAGCAUGGGUCGUGCCAACUCCCUGCCAUUUCCUUGAAUUUGUGUGCUGGAAGCAGGCACGGCCGUUCCAACUUAAGCACGGGCCGUGCCACCUUUCUGGCUGUUGUAUCUUCAAUCUUUCUUGCAUUUUCUCAUCAUACUUGUACAUUUACCUACAAAACAAAGGGAAAUUAGAAGAAACAAAGAAAGCAAUUAAAUCCGUGGGUUGCCUCCCACGAAGAGCUCUUUUAUUGUCACUAGCUUGACAAAACGAGGAUGUGUGUCCUCAAAGAGGGUCACUUAGAGUAAAAUCAGCCACCUCUUCAUUUACCUCUCCAUUGUUAUAGAUUUUUAGCCUUUGCCCGUUAACCGUAAAUGAUCCGGUAUCCUCAGAAAAAAUCUCAAUAAUUCUAGCAAGUUCAAGAGUCUUUAAUGGGAAUCAAA
Molecule: long non-coding RNA, 902 nt
Filed under: Medicago truncatula (barrel medic)
Lineage: Eukaryota; Viridiplantae; Streptophyta; Magnoliopsida; Fabales; Fabaceae
Description: long non-coding RNA (MTRU_LNC004217)
Source: RNAcentral